UCUGCGACAUCAAAGUCAAUAAAAACAGGGACUCUAUUCACGUUCUGCCGGGAGUUUACAAGGAAAAAGUUCAAGUGAACAAGACUGACAUCGCUCUGAUAGACGAUUAUGCUGGCACCACCAUAAUUACUGGUAACAAAAGUAACGCAUCAGGGCAUCAAACUUAUGACACUACUAGAAUGUGUAAGCUUCAUCAGCUGUGCCUUAACGAAUUCUCAAUCCUUCUUUUGCAAGCAUGAAUAAGAAAUAUUUGUUUGCAGUUUGUUUUGCUGGAUAUGGAUUUAUUGC
This 288-nucleotide long non-coding RNA is filed under the name Actinidia chinensis (golden kiwifruit). RNAcentral describes it as "long non-coding RNA (ACHI_LNC001649)". The record is from RNAcentral. Lineage: Eukaryota; Viridiplantae; Streptophyta; Magnoliopsida; Ericales; Actinidiaceae.